ACUGACAAGUAGAUACUGCGACAGUAGUCGAAGUUAGUACGAGAGGAACACUUCGUCCAGAUACUUGGUUAAUGCCGUUGUCUGAAAAGACAGUACGGCGAAGCUACCAUCUGCUGGAUUACGGCUGAACGCCUCUAAGCCGGAAUCCAUGCUGGAUAAGCAGUGUUGUACACCGUGCUCAAUGCUACAAGAAAAAGGCUAGGUCAGGCUUCGGCCUGACCAAAAUUCAAGCUGCUAUACCUCUGGCUGCAUUGACUUGUGGUCAGAGUGUAUGGUGAUCAUAGCAAUUGCAAGUAUUGGGCUCGAUAAAUCCUUUGAAGACGACUUAAUUGCAUCCGGGUAUUGUAAGUGUUGAGAGUAGGCUUAGUCUUACGAUCCACUGAGAUUCAUCCCGUGUUGCGCCGAUUUGU
RNAcentral lists this non-coding RNA (410 nucleotides) under Perkinsus marinus ATCC 50983. RNAcentral describes it as "Eukaryotic large subunit ribosomal RNA". It matches the Rfam family "Eukaryotic large subunit ribosomal RNA", at positions 2996 to 3401 of the family's 3401-position model. The record is from Rfam by way of RNAcentral. Lineage: Eukaryota; Perkinsozoa; Perkinsida; Perkinsidae.